AUGGGGAAUAUUGGACAAUGGGCGCAAGCCUGAUCCAGCCAUGCCGCGUGAGUGAUGAAGGCCUUAGGGUAGUAAAGCUCUUUCACCGGUGAAGAUAAUGAUGGUAACCGGAGAAGAAGCCCCGGCUAACUUCGUGCCAGCAGCCGCGGUAAUACGAAGGGGGCUAGCGUUGUUCGGAAUUACUGGGCGUAAAGCGCACGUAGGCUGAUAUUUAAGUCAGGGGUGAAAUCCCGGGGCUCAACCCCGGAACUGCCUUUGAUACUGGGUAUCGUGAGUAAGGAAGAGGUCAGUGGAAUUGCGAGUGUAGAGGUGAAAUUCGUAGAUAUUCGCAGGAACACCAGUGGCGAAGGCGGCUGACUGGUCCAUUACUGACGCUGAGGUGCGAAAGCGUGGGGAGCAAACAGGAUUAGAUACCCGAGUAGUCC
This 425-nucleotide ribosomal RNA is filed under the name uncultured bacterium. Its description in RNAcentral is "partial 16S ribosomal RNA". It matches the Rfam family "Bacterial small subunit ribosomal RNA", at positions 354 to 796 of the family's 1533-position model. The record is from RNAcentral.